GGGUUGUGAGGUUAAGCGACUAAGCGUACACGGUGGAUGCCCUGGCAGUCAGAGGCGAUGAAGGACGUGCUAAUCUGCGAAAAGCGUCGGUAAGGUGAUAUGAACCGUUAUAACCGGCGAUGUCCGAAUGGGGAAACCCAGUGCAAUUCGUUGCACUAUCGUUAACUGAAUACAUAGGUUAACGAGGCGAACCGGGGGAACUGAAACAUCUAAGUACCCCGAGGAAAAGAAAUCAACCGAGAUUCCCCCAGUAGCGGCGAGCGAACGGGGAGCAGCCCAGAGUCUGAAUCAGCUUGUGUGUUAGUGGAACGGUCUGGAAAGUCCGACGGUACAGGGUGAUAGUCCCGUACACCAAAAUGCACAGGCUGUGAACUCGAAGAGUAGGGCGGGACACGUGGUAUCCUGUCUGAAUAUGGGGGGACCAUCCUCCAAGGCUAAAUACUCCUGACUGACCGAUAGUGAACCAGUACCGUGAGGGAAAGGCGAAAAGAACCCCGGCGAGGGAGUGAAAAAGAACCUGAAACCGUGUACGUACAAGCAGUGGGAGCACCUUCGGGUGUGACUGCGUACCUUUGUAUAAUGGGUCAGCGACUUAUAUUCUGUAGCAAGGUUAACCGUAUAGGGAGCCGCAGGAAACCGAGUCUUAACUGGGCGUUAAGUUGCAGGGUAUAGACCCGAAACCCGGUGAUCUAGCCAUGGGCAGGUUGAAGGUUGGGUAACACUAACUGGAGGACCGAACCGACUAAUGUUGAAAAAUUAGCGGAUGACUUGUGGCUGGGGGUGAAAGGCCAAUCAAACCGGGAGAUAGCUGGUUCUCCCCGAAAGCUAUUUAGGUAGCGCCUCGUGAACUCAUCUUCGGGGGUAGAGCACUGUUUCGGCUAGGGGUCAUCCCGACUUACCAACCCGAUGCAAACUACGAAUACCGAAGAAUGUUAUCACGGGAGACACACGGCGGGUGCUAACGUCCGUCGUGAAGAGGGAAACAACCCAGACCGCCAGCUAAGGUCCCAAAGUCAUGGUUAAGUGGGAAACGAUGUGGGAAGGCACAGACAGCCAGGAUGUUGGCUUAGAAGCAGCCAUCAUUUAAAGAAAGCGUAAUAGCUCACUGGUCGAGUCGGCCUGCGCGGAAGAUGUAACGGGGCUAAACCAUGCACCGAAGCUGCGGCAGCGACACUAUGUGUUGUUGGGUAGGGGAGCGUUCUGUAAGCCUGCGAAGGUGACCUGUGAGGGUUGCUGGAGGUAUCAGAAGUGCGAAUGCUGACAUAAGUAACGAUAAAGCGGGUGAAAAGCCCGCUCGCCGGAAGACCAAGGGUUCCUGUCCAACGUUAAUCGGGGCAGGGUGAGUCGACCCCUAAGGCGAGGCCGAAAGGCGUAGUCGAUGGGAAACAGGUUAAUAUUCCUGUACUUGGUGUUACUGCGAAGGGGGGACGGAGAAGGCUAUGUUAGCCGGGCGACGGUUGUCCCGGUUUAAGCAUGUAGGCUGAUUGUCCAGGCAAAUCCGGUAACUUUCAAGGCUGAGGUGUGAUGACGAGGCACUACGGUGCUGAAGUAACAAAUGCCCUGCUUCCAGGAAAAGCCUCUAAGCAUCAGGUAACAUCAAAUCGUACCCCAAACCGACACAGGUGGUCAGGUAGAGAAUACCAAGGCGCUUGAGAGAACUCGGGUGAAGGAACUAGGCAAAAUGGUGCCGUAACUUCGGGAGAAGGCACGCUGGUGUGUAGGUGAAGUCCCUGCGGAUGGAGCUGAGACCAGUCGAAGAUACCAGCUGGCUGCAACUGUUUAUUAAAAACACAGCACUGUGCAAACACGAAAGUGGACGUAUACGGUGUGACGCCUGCCCGGUGCCGGAAGGUUAAUUGAUGGGGUUAUCCGUAAGGAGAAGCUCUUGAUCGAAGCCCCGGUAAACGGCGGCCGUAACUAUAACGGUCCUAAGGUAGCGAAAUUCCUUGUCGGGUAAGUUCCGACCUGCACGAAUGGCGUAAUGAUGGCGGGCUGUCUCCACCCGAGACUCAGUGAAAUUGAACUCGCUGUGAAGAUGCAGUGUACCCGCGGCAAGACGGAAAGACCCCGUGAACCUUUACUAUAGCUUGACACUGAACAUUGAGCCUUGAUGUGUAGGAUAGGUGGGAGGCUUUGAAGCGUGGACGCCAGUCUGCGUGGAGCCAACCUUGAAAUACCACCCUUUAAUGUUUGAUGUUCUAACGUUGGCCCCUUACCGGGGUUGCGGACAGUGUCUGGUGGGUAGUUUGACUGGGGCGGUCUCCUCCCAAAGCGUAACGGAGGAGCACGAAGGUUAGCUAAUCCUGGUCGGACAUCAGGAGGUUAGUGCAAUGGCAUAAGCUAGCUUGACUGCGAGCGUGACGGCGCGAGCAGGUGCGAAAGCAGGUCAUAGUGAUCCGGUGGUUCUGAAUGGAAGGGCCAUCGCUCAACGGAUAAAAGGUACUCCGGGGAUAACAGGCUGAUACCGCCCAAGAGUUCAUAUCGACGGCGGUGUUUGGCACCUCGAUGUCGGCUCAUCACAUCCUGGGGCUGAAGUAGGUCCCAAGGGUAUGGCUGUUCGCCAUUUAAAGUGGUACGCGAGCUGGGUUUAGAACGUCGUGAGACAGUUCGGUCCCUAUCUGCCGUGGGCGCUGGAGAAUUGAGGGGCUGCUCCUAGUACGAGAGGACCGGAGUGGACGCAUCACUGGUGUUCGGGUUGUCAUGCCAAUGGCACUGCCCGGUAGCUAAAUGCGGAAGAGAUAAGUGCUGAAAGCAUCUAAGCACGAAACUUGCCCCGAGAUGAGUUCUCCCUGAGACUUUAAGUCUCCUGAAGGAACGUUAAAGACGAUGACGUUGAUAGGCCGGGUGUGUAAGCGCAGCGAUGCGUUGAGCUAACCGGUACUAAUGAACCGUGAGGCUUAACCUUACAACGCCGAAG
This 2917-nucleotide ribosomal RNA is filed under the name Klebsiella pneumoniae. Its description in RNAcentral is "23S ribosomal RNA". It matches the Rfam family "Bacterial large subunit ribosomal RNA". The record is from RNAcentral. Lineage: Bacteria; Pseudomonadati; Pseudomonadota; Gammaproteobacteria; Enterobacterales; Enterobacteriaceae.